Molecule: long non-coding RNA, 303 nt
Organism: Oncorhynchus tshawytscha (Chinook salmon)
Lineage: Eukaryota; Metazoa; Chordata; Actinopteri; Salmoniformes; Salmonidae
Source: Ensembl
AGGACUACCAAGGGUCUAGUGACUGGUUGGAGGACUACCAAGGGACUAGUGACUGGUUGGAGGACUACCAAGGGACUAGUGACUGGUUGGCUGCUUUUAGGAGGACUACCAAGGGUCUAGUGACUGGUUGGCUGCUUUUAGGAGGACUACCAAGGGUCUAGUGACUGGUUGGCUGCUUUUAGGAGGACUACCAAGGGACUAGUGACUGGUUGGCUGCUUUUAGGAGGACUACCAAGGGUCUAGUGACUGGUUGGAGGACUACCAAGGGACUAGUGACUGGUUGGAGGACUACCAAGGGACUAG